RNAcentral lists this long non-coding RNA (513 nucleotides) under Equus asinus (donkey). RNAcentral describes it as "lncRNA (ENSEASG00005027238.1)". Lineage: Eukaryota; Metazoa; Chordata; Mammalia; Perissodactyla; Equidae. The record is from RNAcentral.
CUUCACUCCUUUCCUUCUCUAGGCGUCUGAUUUGGAUCUUCUAGAGCCGUUCUAGACGGGUGUUUUCUCCUAGGACUUGGGGAGCCGGCUCCCCUCUCCCCUGUGUACACACAAGUUUUCCCAGGGGUGUGACAACCUCCGGAAAAGAGCCCUCCACUGGUAUCUGUCACUUGUGACAAGAGAAAGGGAUGAUCUGGCAUCUCAAGGACUACAACACCAGAUGGUCAACAUUCUGAGACCCCAUUUUCAGCCCAUUUGCCCUAUAACUGCUUCAAAAUGUUUUAGUUUUAAGAUGGUUCUUUAGGACGCUAGUCCACCAUCUUCCCCCUUGCUAGCAAGCUGUAAUAAAAAGACCCUUUCUCACCUACCACCUUGCCUCUUGACUGUUGGCUUGUCUUUGCAGCAAGUAAAGGACCCCUUUUGGCGGUAACAGUAAUAGUAUGGGUGGUUUCCUUAGGGUCCUCUGUUUCCUUUAGGUCCCUUUCUUAGAUGGGGUUCUGAGGUCAUGUGCAC